RNAcentral lists this ribosomal RNA (237 nucleotides) under uncultured bacterium. RNAcentral describes it as "partial 16S ribosomal RNA". It matches the Rfam family "Bacterial small subunit ribosomal RNA", at positions 524 to 759 of the family's 1533-position model. The record is from RNAcentral.
UACGUAGGGUGCAAGCGUUAUCCGGAAUUAUUGGGCGUAAAGAGCUCGUAGGCGGUCUGUCGCGUCGGCUGUGAAAACCCGGAGCUCAACUCCGGGCCUGCAGUCGAUACGGGCAGACUGGAGUUCGGCAGGGGAGACUGGAAUUCCUGGUGUAGCGGUGAAAUGCGCAGAUAUCAGGAGGAACACCGGUGGCGAAGGCGGGUCUCUGGGCCGAUACUGACGCUGGAGGAGCGAAAG